Molecule: ribosomal RNA, 325 nt
Filed under: Ligilactobacillus salivarius
Lineage: Bacteria; Bacillati; Bacillota; Bacilli; Lactobacillales; Lactobacillaceae
Description: partial 23S ribosomal RNA
Rfam family: Bacterial large subunit ribosomal RNA
Source: RNAcentral
AUAUUAGGUUAAGUUAUUAAGGGCGUAUGGUGGAUGCCUUGGCACUAGGAGCCGAUGAAGGACGUGACUAACUGCGAUAUGCUUCGGGGAGUUGUAAGUAAACUAUGAUCCGGAGAUUUCCGAAUGGGGAAACCUAACAGGUUUUACCGCCUGUUAUCACUAAGUGAGAUUCCCUCAGUAGCGGCGAGCGAACCGGGAAGAGCCCAAACUAAGAAGCUUGCUUCUUAGGGUUGUAGGACUGAACAUCUGAGUUACCAAGAAAUGAAGUAGUUGAAUAAUCUGGGAAGAUUAGCCAAAGAGAGUGAUAGCCUCGUAAGCGAAACUU